RNAcentral lists this ribosomal RNA (113 nucleotides) under Streptococcus pneumoniae. The record is from RNAcentral. Lineage: Bacteria; Bacillati; Bacillota; Bacilli; Lactobacillales; Streptococcaceae.
GUGACGAUAGCCUAGGAGAUACACCUGUACCCAUACCGAACACAGAAGUUAAGCCCUAGAACGCCGGAAGUAGUUGGGGGUUGCCCCCUGUGAGAUAGGGAAGUCGCUUAGCU